AUGCGAGAGCCCCUAUAUAAGUGGGCCAAAGAGAAGGUUCUGGCAUUCGGUACAAUAAAAUCUGUUGGAAUCUACCAGCGUGUGUCUUGGUGCGUUUUCCUUUGGAAGACUGACCCACAGCACAACUGGGAGAAGAGAGGCGGAAUGGAAGGAGUGGACACCCAAAUCCAAAAACUGGACAUUGGUUCUCAACUGGGAAAGCCCUGGACACAUUGCGCUUCUUGGGGAUUGUGCACCUCUUUCUUUUCAAAUCGACAAGGAGAUCGGGUUGGAUUCCCAUUCCCAGGCGCAAAGGCUCGAGACAAGGAGGGGACACUCCACCUGGGUGACCUAUCUUUAUUGGGUUCUGCAGUGCUGCGAGGACAAAGGAGGCACGCACACGGUCCGGUGGGGGUUUGGGGUCUCCAGGUCGCAAAGCUGCUUGCCAUUGAGUCCCUUCCGGGUCGCCAAACGUGGGCCGAGAAGGCACGAAUGCCGCCGCGUUUGGGACCCUUUGGGACUCCGGUUCCUGGCAUUAUUCCUAAACUACCCGAUUCGUCGUCGAUCCGCUCCUUCGGAUUUUGCGCAAUCCUGCCCUUUGUCGAAAAAAUUACGAUUUUGGGCUUUUCUUUUCCGUUUCGGGCCCAAUAGCUCAACCAGGAGUCUGUCCCACUGCACACGAAGUUAUUGCGUCGCUAGAAAUUGGAGGGACCGAAGGAAGAUUUGGAUUCGGAACCGUCCCGCGAUUUCACUCCCAUCCUAUUUGCUGGCAUCAUACUAUUCUGGAAACUGAAGGGAGACGAGUGGCUAGACUACGCGGAGUUAUGAGUAACAGCGAAACGCGGAUCCGGAGGCGCCUCGAUGCGCUCGUCCACAGAGGUGUACGGGGAGUACGGCGAUACAUGGGUAUGGAUGUAUAGUCCUACAUGAUUGUUUUUCCCUGAGUUGGGAGCUGGUACCCCGGCCGGUCGUUGGAGGAGGGAGGAAGGGAGAGCCGGGCCCCUUCCCCAAAAGGCAACCCCGUUCCUCCCGUUCGUUCGUUGCCGUUGCAAAGCGCCGUCCGGCGAGUGUUCCUGCACCGCUGCACCGUCCCAUCAACCUAAUCGUUGCUUAUAUCCCACGGAGCGGAGACGGCGAAAGUCGAACCAAGUCCAGCAUGCAAAGCUGAGAACGUGCCUCCGUUGCACACUUAUGCAUCUCGGUCCUUGUUUCUGACAACACCCCGUCCUUUUUGCACCCAUUGCCUUUUCUCUGUCACAAGUUACGGACCAAGGAAGGGAUAUCCGGUCUCCCUAGUCUCUCCAUCCCAGGACCAGGUGUGUGGGGUCUUCUCCGGUCCCUUCCCCCCCUCCAUGUCUCUCCGUCCGUCCGGCGGCUCG
RNAcentral lists this long non-coding RNA (1358 nucleotides) under Anolis carolinensis (green anole). Its description in RNAcentral is "lncRNA (ENSACAG00000035910.1)". The record is from RNAcentral. Lineage: Eukaryota; Metazoa; Chordata; Lepidosauria; Squamata; Anolidae.